RNAcentral lists this transfer RNA (74 nucleotides) under Gammaproteobacteria bacterium. RNAcentral's name for it is "tRNA-Gly". It matches the Rfam family "tRNA". From Rfam's summary of the family: Transfer RNA (tRNA) molecules are approximately 80 nucleotides in length. Their secondary structure includes four short double-helical elements and three loops (D, anti-codon, and T loops). Lineage: Bacteria; Pseudomonadati; Pseudomonadota; Gammaproteobacteria. The record is from RNAcentral.
GCGGGUGUCGUAUAGUGGUAUUACCUCAGCCUUCCAAGCUGAUGAUGUGAGUUCGAUUCUCAUCACCCGCUCCA